This is a microRNA precursor of Gorilla gorilla gorilla (western lowland gorilla), 115 nucleotides long. The record is from Ensembl. Lineage: Eukaryota; Metazoa; Chordata; Mammalia; Primates; Hominidae.
GGUGCCAAGGGCCGUCCGGCGUCCUAGGCGGGGCGCCGCGGGACCUCCCUCCUGUCUGUGGCGGUGGGGUCCCGUGGCCGUGUUUUCCUGGUGGCCCGGCCGUGCCUGAGGUUUC